Molecule: transfer RNA, 63 nt
Filed under: Tenebrio molitor (yellow mealworm)
Lineage: Eukaryota; Metazoa; Arthropoda; Insecta; Coleoptera; Tenebrionidae
Description: tRNA-Thr
Source: RNAcentral
GUUUUCGUAAUUUAAUAAAAAUAUUAGUCUUGUAAACUAAAAAUAAGCUGGUCUUCGAAAACA